AUACGUAGGGUGCGAGCGUUGUCCGGAAUUACUGGGCGUAAAGAGCUCGUAGGUGGUUUGUCGCGUCGUCUGUGAAAUUCCGGGGCUUAACUCCGGGCGUGCAGGCGAUACGGGCAUAACUUGAGUACUGUAGGGGAGACUGGAAUUCCUGGUGUAGCGGUGAAAUGCGCAGAUAUCAGGAGGAACACCGGUGGCGAAGGCGGGUCUCUGGGCAGUAACUGACGCUGAGGAGCGAAAGCAUGGGUAGCGAACAGGAUUAGAUACCCUGGUAGUCCAUGCCGUAAACGGUGGGCGCUAGGUGUAGGGGUCUUCCACGACUUCUGUGCCGUAGCUAACGCAUUAAGCGCCCCGCCUGGGGAGUACGGCCGCAAGGCUAAAACUCAAAGGAAUUGACGG
Molecule: ribosomal RNA, 396 nt
Filed under: uncultured bacterium
Lineage: Bacteria
Description: partial 16S ribosomal RNA
Rfam family: Bacterial small subunit ribosomal RNA
Source: RNAcentral